Molecule: unclassified non-coding RNA, 74 nt
Filed under: Nitrospina gracilis 3/211
Lineage: Bacteria; Pseudomonadati; Nitrospinota; Nitrospinia; Nitrospinales; Nitrospinaceae
Description: suhB
Source: RNAcentral
CCGGUUGUUUCUUCUGGAGACUCUCCAACAGGACUGAAAGCCCCACCCCCCGGUGGGGCUUUCUUUUUGCCCAC